ACAAGAAGUGCCUUACUCACCUCAGAAUCCCAAUCAUCUAACAGUGUCUAACGAUGGUGUUUACUGGAUACAGGAACAAAUGCUAUUUUACUAACAAAGAAGUCCACGUACAGUAGGAGACAGGAGGGAAAAGACCUACAGGUCAUGGGGCGAGGGAAUCCUCAAGUCCGCCAGAGCACUGUCAGAAGUAAAAUCCCCAAGUAAAGGAUCAAAUUCCUUAUAAAGCGUUCAAGGAGCACCUUGCAACAUCACCAGAACCCUCCACAUAAAGGAGUUUCACCAAAAAGCUAAGUCAUCUCAAAGGGUUCCCAAAGACAAGCGUGAACUGCCUAUGAAUUUUAUUAGCAACUUCUUUACAGGGAAUAAUAUGGACACACCAAUCGAGGACUGAAGCACUAGAGAUGUCUUCUCUGAGCUCAUCAAGAAUGAUAAUGGAGGAAAAUCAAACCAAACAUUGAUGGACAACUGCAAAGAGCACUCCUCCCAUGCACAAAUGAAAAACAUCGCUGGCGAGAGAUCUAUAGGAUCAUUUUCAAAAACACGACCUUCUUGACACCGUUUGUCAGAUACAUUAAUCGCAAAAGUAAUAAAUGUCUAAACACAAAGGAAGUCGUUCUCAAUCAAGGCUCCCCACGUUAGUAGUAACUUGUUACUAACAAUAACUCGAAUCAGGAUAGAUCCAAAAAUCAUCCCUAUGAUGAUAUCCCUACUACUUUCACCUUU
Molecule: long non-coding RNA, 723 nt
Organism: Canis lupus familiaris (dog)
Lineage: Eukaryota; Metazoa; Chordata; Mammalia; Carnivora; Canidae
Exons: 2
Source: RefSeq, a predicted model, not a curated record